GUGGGGAAUCUUGCGCAAUGGGCGAAAGCCUGACGCAGCCAUGCCGCGUGAAUGAUGAAGGUCUUAGGAUUGUAAAAUUCUUUCACCGGGGACGAUAAUGACGGUACCCGGAGAAGAAGCUCCGGCUAACUUCGUGCCAGCAGCCGCGGUAAUACGAAGGGGGCUAGCGUUGCUCGGAAUUACUGGGCGUAAAGGGCGCGUAGGCGGACAGCUUAGUCAGAGGUGAAAGCCCAGGGCUCAACCUUGGAAUUGCCUUUGAUACUGGCUGUCUUGAGUUUGGGAGAGGUGAGUGGAACUCCGAGUGUAGAGGUGAAAUUCGUAGAUAUUCGGAAGAACACCAGUGGCGAAGGCGACAUACUGGCUCAUUACUGACGCUGAGGCGCGAAAGCGUGGGGAGCAAACAGGAUUAGAUACCCUGGUAGUCC
RNAcentral lists this ribosomal RNA (425 nucleotides) under uncultured bacterium. Its description in RNAcentral is "partial 16S ribosomal RNA". It matches the Rfam family "Bacterial small subunit ribosomal RNA", at positions 354 to 796 of the family's 1533-position model. The record is from RNAcentral.